RNAcentral lists this ribosomal RNA (483 nucleotides) under uncultured bacterium. Its description in RNAcentral is "partial 16S ribosomal RNA". It matches the Rfam family "Bacterial small subunit ribosomal RNA", at positions 28 to 507 of the family's 1533-position model. The record is from RNAcentral.
GACGAACGCUGGCGGCGUGCUUAACACAUGCAAGUCGAACGCUGAAGCUCAGCUUUUGUUGGGUGGAUGAGUGGCGAACGGGUGAGUAACACGUGAGUAACCUGCCCCCUUCUUUGGGAUAACGCCCGGAAACGGGUGCUAAUACUGGAUAUUCACUGGUCUUCGCAUGGGGGUUGGUGGAAAGGGUUUUUCUGGUGGGGGAUGGGCUCGCGGCCUAUCAGCUUGUUGGUGGGGUGAUGGCCUACCAAGGCUUUGACGGGUAGCCGGCCUGAGAGGGUGACCGGUAACAUUGGGACUGAGAUACGGCCCAGACGACUACGGGGGGCAGCAGUGGGGAAAAUUGCACAAUGGGCGCAAGACUGAUGCAGCGACGCCGCGUGAGGGAUGGAGGCCUUCGGGUUGUGAACCUCUUUCGCUCAUGGUCAAGCCGCAACAAUGGUUGUGGUGAGGGUAGUGGGUAAAGAAGCGCCGGCUAACUACGUG